GUAUAUAUAGCUCAGUAGCAGAGCACGUGCAUAGCACACACAGGGUCCUGGGUUCAAUCCCCAGUACCUCCA
Molecule: transfer RNA, 72 nt
Filed under: Camelus bactrianus (Bactrian camel)
Lineage: Eukaryota; Metazoa; Chordata; Mammalia; Artiodactyla; Camelidae
Also listed under: 2 other names
Rfam family: tRNA
About the family: Transfer RNA (tRNA) molecules are approximately 80 nucleotides in length. Their secondary structure includes four short double-helical elements and three loops (D, anti-codon, and T loops).
Source: Rfam by way of RNAcentral